RNAcentral lists this ribosomal RNA (484 nucleotides) under uncultured bacterium. RNAcentral's name for it is "partial 16S ribosomal RNA". It matches the Rfam family "Bacterial small subunit ribosomal RNA", at positions 29 to 507 of the family's 1533-position model. The record is from RNAcentral.
AUUGAACGCUGGCGGCAUGCUUUACACAUGCAAGUCGAACGGCAGCGCGGGCUUCGGCCUGGCGGCGAGUGGCGAACGGGUGAGUAAUGCAUCGGAAAGUGACCAGUAGUGGGGGAUAGCCCGGCGAAAGCCGGAUUAAUACCGCAUACGACCUGAUGGUGAAAGCGGGGGAUCGAAAGGCCUCGCGCUAUUGGAGCGGCCGAUGUCGGAUUAGCUAGUUGGUGGGGUAAAGGCUUACCAAGGCGACGAUCCGUAGCUGGUCUGAGAGGACGACCAGCCACACUGGGACUGAGACACGGCCCAGACUCCUACGGGAGGCAGCAGUGGGGAAUGUUGGACAAUGGGGGCAAACCUGACCCAGCCAUGCCGCGUGCGGGAAGAAGGCCUUCGGGUUGUAAACCGCUUUUGUUCGGGAAGAAACUCUGUGGGCUAAGACCCCGGGGGGUUGACGGUACCGGAAGAAUAAGCACCGGCUAACUACGUG